CUCUCUCUUCUCAAAUUUCAAUUUUUUUGCACUGUUACUUGUUCAAAAAAUUCUUCAUGAAGAUACACUUUAUGUUAAUUACUGUACUGUACUAUUUUAAUUAAAAAAUGGUUUCCUUUCGACAAUGAAACUAUUGUUCUGUUCAAUCAAGGCUGUCUUUGAACUCGGACAGACUCCUUAGCAGUCAUUCCAUGGAGUUUUCACUCUUCUCCUAGCCCAAAUUCUUAUGAAAAUAAUUUUUCUUAGCAGUAAAUUAUGUAUUCCUAGCCUCUAGGUGACUUGUCAUUAAUUUGAUAUUAGUUUAGUCUUUUAUGUGUAUAUUGUCUAAAUCAUUUAUAUGAAAUUGGUAUCUGCUAAUUUGUUCAAAAUAUGUGUUUAGUGUGUCACUUUCAUUGGGCUGUUUGGAUAUUAAAUGACAAUAACUGACCCCACUGAGAGGAAAAGUAAAGCCAAUUGCCCAUUGUUUUAUUUUGUAGUGGAAUGUAGAAAUGGGUAUUAAACUAAAAACAAAUU
Ipomoea nil (Japanese morning glory) is the source of this 513-nucleotide long non-coding RNA. RefSeq lists it as uncharacterized. The record is from RefSeq and is a predicted model, not a curated record. The transcript has 2 exons. NCBI's taxonomy places the organism in Eukaryota, Viridiplantae, Streptophyta, Magnoliopsida, Solanales, Convolvulaceae.